AAUUUGGGAUAGACCCUAGUAAAUGUGAGUGAUCUGAAAUUCAAAAAUCUUUAGCUUUUGACAUUCCUUUCUUAGCUUUUGGUAUUCUGCUGAUAUGGUCUUUCAUGUAUUCUUAUCAUGAUAGGUCUUGUAAGCUUUAGGUAGGUUUGUUUGCUUGGUGAUAAAAUUGGCCCUUGAAACAAUAUGAUAGCUAAAAUGAAACGGUUUAACCAAAAGAAGAAAAAAAAAAAGUAAAAGAAAAAGAGGAAGGAAAAAAAAUAACUAUUAGUCUUAUCUUUUAAGUCAAUAGCAUAUUUUCUAGACAAUGAUAAAAUGUCUUUUUUUUUAAUGCUAAAACUUAUAGAAAUUUACGCCAUUUUUUUUAAAAAAAAUCUGUUUCUAAAGUUUUUAGUUGUAUAUAGAAGUAUGUUAUGUAUUUUACAUAGGUCCAUUCAAAGUUUCAAGUCUAGAUUUGCCCCUAACCAUAUCCACCAGGAUAACAUUCUAUCGUUGCUUUAUGAAUAACCAGUAUUUGGAUGCUUCAUUAUAUGGGUAACUUUUAAAGUUAAUUUAUUGAUGAUAGUAAAUUGAAAUAUUUUCAGUCUAAAUUUUAAAUAAUAUUUAUAAAAAAUUAAGGAUAUUAAGAAAUUCAUCACGUAUUAUUUAAGAGAAAAAUUUCAGAUUUAUACUGGACAGUUGAAAGUAGACUCUAGGACAGGUUUUUUAUGGUACGUAUGCAUUGGUAUAUAGCUUUAGAAUUUAGGCAAUUGAUCUAUAGGCAGCAUGUACUUGUAAAUUGUAACAAGAUUAUGGUUUUAGAAAUUUGGACAAUAUAUAUAAAUACUAGUGUAGUUAAUAAAUUAUAUUUAAAUUGAUAUUAUUCUUCAAAUAUGAAUUUUUAUGGACUUAGGAAUAUAUUAGGAUUUAUUAAAUAUGAAUUUUUAUUGAUUUAGGAAUAUAUUACAAGUUAUGAAUUCAUAUUGAAAUGGUAAAAUUAUCUAGCUAAUAGAAAUAUGUGCAAUUACUAGUCAUUGAAUCUUAGGUUAAUUUCACAAUUUGUAGGGAUGUUUACUUCAAGUUGGCUUUGAUAUAAUGGUGGCAAAAAAAAUAUCUGCUUUAUGGAGACAUCAACUUGAAGUGGGUUUGACAGCCACUUUGAGAGGUUACAUAAUUAUAUGUUGACAUCAAUGUAUAAAACUAAUAUAAAAUUGUCAAAACAACUCAUCUACAUUUUAGAGCUCUCCUGUCUCCAUAGAUUAAAAGUAAUUGUCCUUUUCUGUCAUUUAAAAGAUUUGAGUUCUUGUGAAAAUAGUUCUCCUUUUUAGUCCAUUCAAAAGUUUUAGGCUAGUAGUUUUGUCUCCACAAAGCUUUUAAGGUUAUAUCAGAGUGUCAAUUUAGCUUCUAAUGUUCAUUUUUUUUUUUUGGUAAGCAAAG
This 1413-nucleotide unclassified non-coding RNA is filed under the name Hevea brasiliensis (rubber tree). The record is from RNAcentral. Lineage: Eukaryota; Viridiplantae; Streptophyta; Magnoliopsida; Malpighiales; Euphorbiaceae.